This 484-nucleotide ribosomal RNA is filed under the name uncultured bacterium. RNAcentral describes it as "bacterial SSU rRNA". It matches the Rfam family "Bacterial small subunit ribosomal RNA", at positions 28 to 514 of the family's 1533-position model. The record is from RNAcentral.
GACGAAUGCUGGCGGCGUGCUUAACACAUGCAAGUCGAGCGGUAAGGCCCUUUCGGGGGUACACGAGCGGCGAACGGGUGAGUAACACGUGGGUGACCUGCCCUCAGCUCUGGGAUAAGCCUGGGAAACCGGGUCUAAUACCGGAUAUGACUCCAUGACGCAUGUUGUGGGGUGGAAAGCCUUGUGCGGCUGAGGAUGGGCCCGCGGCCUAUCAGCUUGUUGGUGGGGUGAUGGCCUACCAAGGCGACGACGGGUGGCCGGCCUGAGAGGGCGACCGGCCACACUGGGACUGAGACACGGCCCAGACUCCUACGGGAGGCAGCAGUAAGGAAUAUUGGUCAAUGGACGCAAGUCUGAACCAGCCAUGCCGCGUGGAGGAUGAAGGUCCUCUGGAUUGUAAACUUCUUUAUAUGGGACGAAAAGGCUUUUCUAAGUCAACUGACGGUACCAUAUGAAUAAGCACCGGCUAACUCCGUGCCAGCCG